This is a long non-coding RNA of Brassica rapa (field mustard), 4594 nucleotides long. RefSeq lists it as uncharacterized. The record is from RefSeq and is a predicted model, not a curated record. Lineage: Eukaryota; Viridiplantae; Streptophyta; Magnoliopsida; Brassicales; Brassicaceae.
UACAUUAUUAACUUUUAUAUUCGUAGAUAAUGCGUCGUUCAGGUUUUUCAAAAAAAAAUAUUCGUAGAUAAUGUAUGACAAAUGCUUGUUAGUUUUAUGUUUUUCUUCGGAACGGUUCAACAAGGGUUUCUGAACUCUCAUUUAUCUUCACAACGGAUUCACAAACGUCUUCCGAAUUCUCUUGCUAUCAUCUCAUACCAUUGUGAGCAAGAGCAGGGGCAGGCACAGGUGGACCAUGGAUGUGGCUGGCAUAUGCCCCCCCCCCCCCCCCCCCCCCAAUCUUAUUAUUAUUAUUAUUUUUCUUACAUAAUUAAUCUAAAUUUUAUUCAUAUACCCCUGACUAAAUAUUGUUUAAGAUAUUUACAUACUAAAUUAUUCUUUAGAUUCCCCCUGAUCAAGUGUUCCAAAACUUCAAAUUAACAAUUAUACUAUUAAAUAUUUACAUAAAAUGUUAUGGAGUUAUUGUACACGAAAUACACCAGAAUGCUUUUUGACCAAUAAGAACAAAUCUACUUCAAACGGUUUAGCAAACCAAACCGGUUGAAUUAUAUACAAAUUAUAGUAGAAAGAGAAAUGCGAGCAUUCCAUAUUAGUUUAUCUGCCUUUGAAUUUGUUAUCUUUGAAAUAUGUUGAAAGAUAAAAGUUGGGAAUAAUUUGUUAAGAUGGGAAACAAAAACAUGCCUCUUUGUUAAGCCAGCUCAGUGAUUAAACUUAAAUUUGCACUUAUACAAAUUAACUUUUUUCUUUAAUAUUUCGUUCGCAUAUCAAUACCAAAAAGUUAACGACCUACUGAAAUACUUUUUCAAAAUGGAUAUUUAUUAUCAAAAGAGUUUAUCGCGUAGUUCUGACUAUUCCGAUAUCAAUCGCCACAGCUGUAAGAAAAUUUUGAAGUUGAAACUGAUAAAUAAUUAUUUGUCAAUCUAACAUGUCACAAAAAAUUAAAUGAGCUGAUUUUGUUUUCAAUUUACUAUUUUUAUAAACAACUGAUAAGAUUCAAUUGUGAAGUACGUGUGUAUUAUAUACACAGGUAACAUGUUUAAAUUUAUUUCAGAGUAACACAUUCAAGGGCUAAGAGCACCCUCAACGCAAAUACCCAACUUGGGUUUCUUAUUUUGUUUUUUUUUUUCUUUUUUGGCUGAUUUUUUUUUUUUUUUUUAAAUUAAAAAGGAACCAAUUGCGGGCCGCCACGUAUUAAUGGGGCCCGCGAAACAGUGCAAUAUACGUCCCUUAUUUCGCGACAGGAGACAACCGUCUCUCCUUUUUUGCUGGACCCCACACUACCUUUUUCCUUAAAAACUCUCGUUGCAUACCGCGAUAAUCAUGGCCUAAGGUGAUCUAGAGACUAGAGUAAAAUAAAAUAAAAUGUACAUGCAUGUGCUACGUCAAUGGAAUAGUGAAUAUAAGCUCCAAAGAUUGAAAAUAGCUGAAUCAAGAAACAGAGCCCAGCAUAAGAAGGCCAAUAAAGCCGAGACUUGGUAUUUGAUACAUCUUUUAUCUCCGCACAUGGGUUCAUCAAUAGACAAAAGCAUUUCGGUUGCACUGGCUGCACCACAAGCCCCACUCAGAGAAAGAAACGACAGUACCUGUUACAUAUAUAUAGAGAGAAUAAACAUAACGUGCAGCGUUUUGAGGGGAGAUACAGAAACUCUUUCGCAUUUGCUUACGACAUCACCGGCGAGAACUAUGGAUAGAACUCUAGGUUUUUGAGGAAGUUGUUUCAAUAAGACAGAGUAUGUAUCGGCCAACGUGUGCAAGAUGCUCCAUAGAAUUACAUAAGCCAUUACAACCGCCAGAUAGCUUAAGAAAGAGAGACAAGAAAGAUCAAAAAAUCAAAUCUCUUUAUGAGCUGAUGCAAAUUAACAUAUUUACCAGAAGGUCGUGACCUCAUUGAAAUCGUAAUCCAAGCACAUGGAAAUCAGAGAAGUUGAAGAGAAACCGAGUUGGAAGAUACGGAGCGCGAAACUGACGCUGGUGCCAAACGAUCCAGGCACACGCUCCAUCUGAUUACUAAGUGAAAUCUUAAACUAAAACGUUAUAUGAAAUUUAUAUUAAAUGUGUACUUUAUCUACGUUAAAGAAAAAAAGAUUUAGAAAAAAUAGUUCUUAUGACGAAAUGAAUUGACAAUGCUAUGUGUGCUAGUUCCAAUCAACAAACGUAGUCACCAAAUAAAUAAAUAAACUAGUCAAAUUCGAAUUAAUUAUAAGAAGAAAAUGCGAAGUAAAUUAGUCGUACUCAUCAAUAAUACUGGAACAUACCAUCACUCCAAUGCACCUAAUCUUUUCUUCAUCAUAAAUAAAGGAAAAUAUUUUUUAACAAAUUCCACUAUUGUUAGAAAUAAACAUUUUUUUCAUUUUCAUGAUGAAUGUUGUAACAAAUACGUAAAUUAUAACUUGUUGUAACAAUUCGUAGCAAAAAAAGGAUAUUGUUGUAACAAAUACUUAAAUAACUAAAUUUUCGACAUCUCGUAUAAUCAAUCACAUAUUAGAAACUACCCACUCUGUUUCUAAAUAAUACGGGUGUAAUCGGUUAUUCCUAAUUGGAAUAUUAAGAAUAAAAUGAAUGAUUAAUUUGUGGAAUAGAAAAAUUGGAAUAGUGUGAAAAAUGGAAUGAAAACCGGAAUAAUUUUUAGAGUCACAAAUAAAAAGAAUAACUUUUACAAAUGAUUUAUUGUUUUGUUUCAUUUAAGCAUUGGGUAUUUUACUUGGAUCUGAAGAUCCAAACCGAAACCGAUCCAAAAAUACAUGUUCGGAUCCGUGUCCAUGCUAAAAUAUAUGUUGGAUUCUUUUCUUUUGGACCCGUAUGUUUCGGUCGGGGUCCUACCCGAGAUCCGAUCGGGUAUCCGAAGUAUCUAAAAUUUAUUGUAUAUAUUAGGUAUAUUAGGGUGAUUGGGUAUUAUUUUGGUAUUUUGGAUAUAUUUUUUUAAGUUUCAGGUUUGGAUUUUCGGGUAUAAUUUCGGUUUUCGGGUACAAUUUUAGAUUUUCAGAAAAUAUAUUUUGGAAGUUCGGGUAAAAUUUUGGAUAUCUUUUUGGUCUGAUUUUAGGUAAUUUUUCUGAUACUUUUAGGGUUUUCAGCAGAGUUUUGAAAACCGGACCGGACCGGCCGGUCGGACCGGUCCAACCGUGAAUCGUUAAGUAAACCGAGUCCGGGUUGAGUUAAAACUCGGAUUUGAACUAAACCGCCAAAACCGGUUAAAAACCGGCUAAACCGGUGACUCGGGUCAGUGAAAAAAACCGGUUCAACAAAUACUUACGUAAUUUCAUUAGUUUUGAAAUAGAAAUGGUAACUUCUUAACUGAUUCAAGAUUCUUAGCGUUUUGUUUGAAAACCAUAAUAAUUUCUUUCCCUUUUCAAGAUUGGUAGUACAUUUGUUUCCUUCUUUUCGUUAUACAUAUAUACUAUAAAUUAUUGUUCAUUCAUGGUCAAUCAUUUUAUUAUAAGUUAUAUAUACACCACUAUAAACAAUAGUGAUCACGCCUAAAAACAAUAGUGAUCACGCCUAAUUUUUAUUUAAUACUUAUUUAAUUAUAUUUUCAUUUAUAAUACUAAAGGUUUCUAAAUUUAUGUAUAUAUAUAUAUAUAAAUCUUAAAUAUAUAUAUAUAUAUAUAUAUAUAUAUAUAUAUAUAUAUUUAUUUAUGAAAACCCGGUUGAACCGGUUAGACCGGUCUGACCAGUCGCCCAAUGAUAAUUCCGAGUCAGUGACCGGUCCGGUUUUCAAAACAUUGGUUUUCAGGUAUUUUUUGAAUUUUUGGAUCCUAAAUACCCGAACUGAUACGAAUCCAAAAAAUAUCGAAAAAUUAUGGAUAUUUUUACAGGUAUAUAAAUUAUAGACCCCAACCAAUCUGGAUCCGACAAGACCUGAUCCAAAACCGACCCAAAGAACUGUAGGUACCUAUAUGGUUCUAAAUUUUAGGAUCCGAAAGAACCAGACCCGGAUCCAACAUAAAAUCCCGGAUGCCUAGGUCUAGUUUCAUUCCAAAAUGGAAUGCUUUGAAUUGUGUUAUGUUAACUUUUAUUAUGACAGGUAACUAAUUUAUGGAAUCCAAUGAAAUGAUCCAUUCCAAGUGAUUUUAUUACAGAAAAUGUCAUUCCAAUUGUAGUACAUGUGUCUCUAUCUCUCAGUCUUGAUAGUUAAAUAUUAAUAUUUGUGAAAAAUAUAAAACUUAAAUUAUUAAAUUACACAUACACUAUUUAUCGAUAGCAUUUUCAUUAAUACAAAGAAAGGUCUAAAUACAAUUUAACAAGGUAAUCGCCGGGCCUUGGCUAUCAUCCGAUAGCCCAUAAUCAUCGUAGAAAUUCAAUUCUUUAUUGGGCUCAAAUUCCAGGGAUUCUCCGCGCAUCAUUUAAAUUAAACUAUCUUUUGUUAUGCGUUGUAUACAUUGGUUCACUGUCGAUCUCGAAUACGGUCAUCCAAAUAUCUAGCAACCGAAUGACUGGUAGACUUUUGGUAUAGCGAAAUCAAAUCAUUUUCAAGACAAGUUGAAUUGAUAAAUUAAAUAGCACUUUCAACCAAUCGAUAAAUAACGUUUUGAUUCAUAUUUAAUAAUAAAAACGAUUAGAAUAAAAGAAUUAUAGUUUUGACAAAAUAAAAAAAAAA